This 431-nucleotide long non-coding RNA is filed under the name Monodelphis domestica (gray short-tailed opossum). RNAcentral describes it as "lncRNA (ENSMODG00000029983.2)". The record is from RNAcentral. Lineage: Eukaryota; Metazoa; Chordata; Mammalia; Didelphimorphia; Didelphidae.
GGGGAGGAGGAGAGGAGGGGGAGGGGAAGAGGGAGGGAGGGAAGGAGCUGGCUCGCUUUCACGCUGUCCCGAGGAAGUCCAAGCCAGCUUAAUGGUGUUUGGUGUCAAUGAGGCUCAUGGUGAAUACAUCAGGGUCGCCCAGAUGGUGAAUACUGGAGCCAAGAUGCAAGCAUGGAUCCCUCUGACUUCAGAUCUGAUGCUUACUGUAUGGGCAGCCCAUGUUGCUUGGAUGGCCUUCUCAACUUGAGAACUUCCUAAUGCUUUGCUUUAAAAACAAACAAACAAACAGGGCAGGAACUAGUUAAAUGAGCUCAGACAUUUAGAUUUAGUCUAGUCUUCAGUCUCAGAGAGGUGGAGCAACUUGCCCUAAAUCCCAGAGGCUGGACCAAGAUCUACACUCCUUUCACUAAACCACAACUGCUAUUCCUCAC